GAGUUUGAUCGUGGCUCAGGAUGAACGCUGGCGGCAUGCCUAAUACAUGCAAGUCGAACGAGAGGAAGGAAAGCUUGCUUUCCUGAAUCUAGUGGCGAACGGGUGAGUAACACGUAGGUAACCUGCCCAUGUGCCCGGGAUAACUUCUGGAAACGGAUGCUAAAACCGGAUAGGUAGCAGACAAGCAUUUGACUGCUAUUAAAGUGGCCUUGGCCAUGAACAUGGAUGGACCUGCGGUGCAUUAGCUGGUUGGUGAGGUAACGGCCCACCAAGGCGACGAUGCAUAGCCGGCCUGAGAGGGCGGACGGCCACAUUGGGACUGAGACACGGCCCAAACUCCUACGGGAGGCAGCAGUAGGGAAUUUUCGUCAAUGGGGGGAACCCUGAACGAGCAAUGCCGCGUGAGUGAGGAAGGUCUUCGGAUCGUAAAGCUCUGUUGUAAGAGAAAAACGGCACUCAUAGGGAAUGAUGAGUGAGUGAUGGUAUC
This 487-nucleotide ribosomal RNA is filed under the name uncultured bacterium. Its description in RNAcentral is "bacterial SSU rRNA". It matches the Rfam family "Bacterial small subunit ribosomal RNA", at positions 9 to 479 of the family's 1533-position model. The record is from RNAcentral.